UGGCCAGCCUUGCAGACUUCAAAAUCACUUUGCUCUCACAAUCGCAUGAGCCAAUUCCUUAAAAUAAAUCCCUAGGUAUAUAUGCAUCCUAUUGGUUCUCCUUCUCUGGAGACCCCUGACUAAUACAUUAUUAUUCUCAUUGUUGGCACUGGGCAGUUUGGAUGACAGCAAUGACAUCAGCAGGAAGAAGCCAUCUUGUUCUACAAGCCAAGCACAGAGACCUCAGUAGAAACCAAUGCUGCUGCCACCUCGGAACUCCAGCCUCCAGAAUUGUGAGAAAUGUAAACACCUGGAGCCCCUUAUUAGGUUGAAUAGAGAAAGGAUGAAGAUACAGACGAGGCAGAAAAUAAGUGAAGAAGCAAAUUCCCUGAGAGGGCAGAAGAGCAUACUGACUUAUGGCCCACUGAACAUGCAUUGUACAUCUGCUUCAAGCAUUUUUCCCAAGCAAAGGGUGAAGUCUUUAAGGAGAGGGAUGAAUGUCUUCCUUUCUGUGACACCAAUACCAGUACUUCUUUGAAGAUAAGCUUUUCUUCCCAGAGAACCCAGGUCAGAUUGACAGGCUGUGUGUGUGCUAAACUGCAGCAAAACAUUUCCUUGUGACUCUGGGGGAGAAAAAUUCUAUUCCUGUCAUGUUUGAUGUAUGUUCUUUGUUUUGAAAUGGUAUGUAACCAUGCUGUAAACCAUGCUUCUCUGGAAUGCUCUCUUCCCUGGGGGAAGAUAACAGUUCCUGUCUAGUCCUCAACAUGGCUCAAUAGAUAUCAAUAAAUCUCACUCUAUCUUAUCUGUCGACUGAAUAUUGAUUAUUUGCAUU
Molecule: long non-coding RNA, 811 nt
Organism: Diceros bicornis minor
Lineage: Eukaryota; Metazoa; Chordata; Mammalia; Perissodactyla; Rhinocerotidae
Exons: 3
Source: RefSeq, a predicted model, not a curated record